Molecule: RNA transcript, 486 nt
Organism: Lycium ferocissimum
Lineage: Eukaryota; Viridiplantae; Streptophyta; Magnoliopsida; Solanales; Solanaceae
Gene name: metallothionein-like protein type 3
Exons: 3
Source: RefSeq, a predicted model, not a curated record
UCGAUCUCAUAGUUUUAAUUCAAGGCAUAGCAAAUUUACAACACACUUUCUCCUGCAUACCAAAAACUCUAUUUCAUCCUUAGCUUUAUAUCUCCUAAACAUGUCUGACAAGUGCGGCAACUGCGACUGUGCUGACGUUAGCCAGUGCGUGAGGAAGGAAAGCCAAUAUGAUCUCAUCAUCGUCGAGAAGAGCGAGACCGUGGUGAUGGACGUUGGAGCGGUGGAGCAUGAUGGGAAAUGCAAGUGCGGCAGCAGCUGCGCCUGUGUGAACUGCACUUGUGGUCUUUAAGCCCUUUUAAGAACUAUGAAUAAAGUGUUUAAUGAAUAACAGUACUACUUUGUUAUCUGUGGUGAAAUAAACUUCUUGUGCUAAUUAAGUCUUAAUUGUCAAAAGAAAAUGUAAGGAGUCAGGCUAGUCCGUCUGUCUGUCUCUUUGGUCAAGUUUGUAGCACAACUUUCAUUGUUAAAUAGAUUAUUACUAUAGCA